UGUAUCCUAUGCUUUUAAUUUUAUUAAAAUUUCAAAUCUUGAACUUUAUGAUCUUUUCAAUUGUAUCUGAUGGGUUUAGGACAUGCUCAAAUGUUGAAAUGGAACUAAAAUAGAAGGCGAAUAUUGGGUUGCCAAAUCAAGUGAUCAUAUCGGAACAAGGAGGAGGAGGAAGCAAUCUAGGCGCUAAAUCAAGUGAUCCCAUUGGCAUAAGUUAGGCAUAGGCGAUCCCAUUGGCAUAAGGCCGACAACUAAAAGGCCAUCAUAUAUUGUGUUUAGGGUUUUGAGCUCAUCUUAAUUUAAGAGGAGGAGGAGGCUGG
Molecule: unclassified non-coding RNA, 317 nt
Filed under: Hevea brasiliensis (rubber tree)
Lineage: Eukaryota; Viridiplantae; Streptophyta; Magnoliopsida; Malpighiales; Euphorbiaceae
Source: RNAcentral